CCGGUUGCUAUGGAGUUUCGCGCAUGCGCCGUGCCGCGGCCCCGCCCCCCGUUGCUAUGGGGGUUCGCGGCGCCGCCCCCGGUUGCUAUGGAGUUUCGCGCAUGCGCCGUUCCGCGGCCCCGCCCCCCGUUGCUAUGGGAGUUCGCGGCGCCGCCCCCGGUUGCUAUGGAGUUUCGCGCAUGCGCCGUGCCGCGGCCCCGCCCCCCGUUGCUAUGGGGGUUCGCGGCCCCGCCCCCGGUUGCUAUGGAGUUUCGCGCAUGCGCCGUGCCGCGGCCCCGCCCCCCGCUGCUAUGGAGCUCCGCGGCCCCGCCCCCGGUUGCUAUGGAGUAUCGCGCAUGCGCCGUGCCGCGGCCCCGCCCCCGUUGCUAUGGGGGUUCGCGGCCCCGCCCGCCGUUGUUAUGCGGGUUCGCGGCGCCGCCCCCGGAUGCUAUGGAGUUUCGCGUAUGCGCCGUGCCGCCGCCCCGCCCCCCGUUGCUAUGGAGGUUCGCGGCGCCGCCCCCGGUUGCUAUGGAGUUUCGCGCAUGCGCCGUGCCCCGCCCCCCGUUGCUAUGGGGGUUCGCGGCGCCGCCCCCGGUUGCUAUGGAGUUUCGCGCAUGCGCCGUGCCGCGGCCCCGCCCCCCGUUGCUAUGGGGGUUCGCGGCACCGCCCCCGGUUGCUAUGGAUUUUCGCGCAUGCGCUGUGCCGCGGCCCCGCCCCCGGUUGCUAUAGAGGUUCGCGCAUGCGCCGUGUCGCGUCUCGUUGCUAUGGAGCGCGGUCCACAGCGAACUGCAGUGCCGACAAUUAAACACACGGUGGCAGCAGCGAGCACGGUCCCCAGCGAACUGCAGUGCCAACAAUUAAACACAGGGUGGCAGCAGCGAGCACGGUCUCCAGGGAGCUGCAGUGCCUACAAUUAAACACAGGGUGGCAGCAGGGAGCACGGUCCCUAGGGAGCUGCAGUGCCGACAAUUAAACACAGGGUGGCAGCAGGGAGCACGGUCCCCAGGGAGCUGCAGUGCCGGCAGUUAAGCACAGGGUGGCAGCAGUGAGCGCUGCGCGCAUGCGUUGGGUCGCUGUGCGGGGUGCGGAGCUGGCGCAUGCGUCCUGCUCUGCCGCCUCGUUACGCAUGCGGGGCCGGGGCCGUGCUGAGAGGCCUGCGGGGGGAAGGCUGCGGCGGCAGCGGCGUGGAGCGGCAGCGGGGCCGGGCCGGGCCGGGCCGAGGAGGGCUUUGCAGUGCCGGGAGCUGAACUGCUUUGCCCCAGCCCAGCUGCAGAUCUGCACUCAGCCUCAGCCCCAAGCCCUGGCAGGGUGGGAUGCUUUGGUCCCAGGCCGUGGAGCUGUUUGAAAUGCAAUUCCUGCUUGCAGCUGGUUCAGAAAUGGAUUUCCUGUGGCUGUGGGGGCAGAAAUGUCUCUGUGCACACGCUCAGAGGACAGGUCCCUGGAUUGCAGUGCUGCUCCAAUGGCCUGUGGUGGCUGCAGGCAGCCGCGGCCCGGGGAGCCCAAGACUCAGCGUGUGGAAGGGUUGGGAGCAGCCCUGGGUGCCUGCAAGGAUUCGGGAGGUCAGCUGAGCAGGCCUGAGCAGGUCUGAAACCCUGCCACGGAGAGGCACUGGCACCGCAGCAGUGCCUGCAUUUCAGCAGCUGCCCAUCGGAGCUAAGCACAGCCUCGGCUCAGAGGUUUGCACUUUGCUUUCCACUCCACUGGCCAAGCCAGCCAGAUGUGCAGCAGCAGCAGGAUGGGCACGAGGGCCCCAGCUGCUGCGGUGAAUCCGUCAGCACGGACGCUGGUGCCGCUGCAGCCUGGCCCUGCAGCCUGGCAGGGUGAUCUCCUUUGGCUCGGCUCCUGUGGGCUCCAGCUGCAGGGGUGGAUUUGCCUGCACUCAAGCUGCUGCUGCCAGAGCCCCUCCGUGUCAAUCUGUGCUGCCGUUGGGUUCUGCAGCUCUCUCCAGCAAGCAUGGCAUGAGCUGAAGGAGCAGCAGGAGCAGCAUGGCCGUUCCCCAGGCAGCAGGAGGGUUCAGCCCAGCACCAGCUCAUGUGGGAGGAGCAGAUGCUGAGGAACAUCCCCCACGAGACGCAGGUGGCCAAAGAGGCUGGGUCAGGUGCCAAAAAGGAGACCUUCUUCACCUGCUUCUCCUGUGCAAGCUCUUCUGUCUGUCUGCUGAGAUGUUUCUGUCUGUUUCUCUGGCAGAGAAGUGUUUGCUUUUUUGGCUGGCGAGCUGACCAUCCGUACUACCGUCGCCUUGAAUGCCUCCAACCAGCAGUGUUUGCUGCCAGACAGACACCUGGAGAAGACAGAGGACAUGGUUAAGUUCAUGAAGGAUAUCUUGGAUGGUGCUGCUGAAAGGACGGAGAGCGGUGGUUGCCAGCCAAGUGGGUGCGACCCUGGCUACAUGCUGAAACCAAGGAAAACAAGGAGGAUGAUCAAACGGCAAUAGAAGAAAUUGCUGACUUAGAAGCUGCACACAACGUCACCAGAGACAACUGAUCUGAGCUAAAUGUUGAACAAUAUGUAUUGGUUAUCUGCUAUUGUAAUUAUUUUUGUGGUGCAGGAGAAUUUUGGGUGGGGUAGUGAAGACAACUUUUGGGUGAACUGGGCAAAGGAGACAAAUAACCCAUCCUUUUGCUUACACUUAUCAGCAGCCACAGACCCAUUUAAAACAUGCCUGAUAGGGUUGCCAUUUGAUGAUCAACGCACUUUGGUAGCCUCCUUUUCAUCUCUCACACAUCAAGAUUGUUCUACAGCAAAAAGUAUAAGUCAUUGUAUGGCAUUAAUAGUUGCAAGCCUCAAUGACCCUUUACCAUGGGAUCCUCAAGAGUUCAACCUGUUAGGAAGUAGAAUGCCAAAUCAGUCAGGAUGUCUGAUAUUUGGCUCGUACAAUCUGACGAAUCGUCAAAUAACAGAUCUAACAUCCUAUCAUUUUCCUUAUUGGAGUACCUCUGAUUUUUGUGCUAAAGACACGGUUUAUGGUUGGAACACAAAUGGUAUGUGCCUUAACAUUACCAAAGCCUUAAGAUUGCCUAGAAAUGUGUUCCUGAUUUGUGGUAGAAGAGCGUGGCUUGGAAUCCCAAAAGAAAGUAACGGAGGGCCAUGUUACAUUGGUCACCUUUCUUUGCUAACUCCUACUUCAGAAUUUAUCCGAAAUCAUAUUGCAAGUAGUGCAACUCUAUUAAGAAAUCGUAGAAAUGUAGAAAUGUUAACCUCUGAUUGUAGUGAUGAAGUGGAACUUUGGUCUCAUACAGCAAGAGUUUUUGGAGCAUUGUUUCCUCCUAUAGGAACAGCACAUGCCUUGUCAGCCAUUCAGAGAUUAGCAUGUUGGACAGCAAAACAAGCUAAUGUUACUACUAGUGUUAUUUCUCAGCUUGCAGUAGAUCAAAAUAGUUUGCGAAAGGCUACCCUGCAAAAUAGAGCAGCUAUAGAUUACUUGCUUUUAGUACAAGGAAAAGGCUGUGAAGAGGUAGAAGGAAUGUGUUGUUUUAACUUGUCUGAUCAUAGUGAUUCAAUCCAUAAAAAGGUAGACUGGCUUCAGCAUCAUACAGAGAAAAUUACAACGAAUCAUAACCCCUUUGAUGAUUGGCUAAUGUCAUGGGGAAUUUCAGCUUGGGCAAAAGAGUUAAUCAAAACUGUAGGAAUAGUAUUACUUAUUGUUAUUGUUGUGUUAUUUUUAGGACCCUGCAUCUUCCGAUGUCUAUCCUGGCAGAUGCAUCGGAUCGCUGCUACAGUGUUUGAAAAGAAAGGGGGAGAUGUGGGGAAUUUUGUAGGGGCUGUUGCUUUGCAAUCGAUAUGUAGGCGAUUGGAACACAGCGGGUAAGACACCGCUCAGCCCAAGGACACUGUGUCCGCUUCGUGCUUUCUAUGAAAAAAAAAAGCAGAGUUGGCCUGAGGAUGUUGCGUCCUUGUGAUACAGCUGUGCAAAGUAAAACAAGUAAUGAAUCAGUCAUGAAUAUACCUUAGAACAAAGGAUCUGCACAUCUGGAAAUGUAGGGUUUGAUAUAUGAGCACACGUACUGCUUAUAAAAAUACCUUUUUGUAUCUACUAAUGAUUAUGUUUUAAACCACAAAAAUGUAUUGCAUGGACCAAUUAGAAAUCGACAUGUAAUCCUGUAAUAGUAUAAAAAGCCUUCUGAUUUGUGUAUUAAACGUCUUACAUUUACAAUCCAUAUUGGAUUCUGUAAGUCCAUUUCCUCAACUUUGGGAACAGUCAGCAUGCUAACAGCGCCUAACAGCGACAAACACAGAGUCAGGUGAAAUGAAGGCUGAAGAGAUAGGAAAAGUCUUUCUCAGCCUCAUAGCUAAAGACAGUUUAGUUUCCCCAAGAAGUCCCAUUCUACCUGUUGUGCAUUGGUUUGAUGCCAAAGCCAAACAACUGCCCCAGACCUUUCUAUUUUCUCAGCUUUGGUGUAAAUGAAUAUGAAUUGAGGUUGGAUGAGGCCCUGAGCAGCCUGUUGCAGUGGGAGGUAUCCCUGCCUAGAGCAGAGGGUUGGGACUGGAUGAUCCUUGAGGUCCCUUCCAACCUAAACCAUUCAAUGAAGUCUUUUGUCAGCUCCUAGGAUUAGUGACAGUGGGGAAUGUUUGCUUGCUAUGAGCUGAGGGAGCUGUUUCCUAAAUGGAAUGUUCAUUAGUUCUUUAGCACCUGAAAAUGUUGGCAGGCUACUUGAUAAACCUCCUGGAACGCAGGGGCCUGUUGAAUUGUUUUCCCAGUGCCUGAACAACUUGCAGUGCUGUAAUGGGUUAGCCUCCUGUUUCCCUCCAACACAGAAGUGAGGCAAAAGUAACACAGCCAAGGAAAAACCCUCUGGGUUGAGAUCAAGAGGUAAAUACAAAAUGAGAUCCUGCAGUGCACAAUUACCUUAGCCUGUUUCUGUUUGCAGAAAGCAGGAGUCAGCCACCUGCCACCCAUCCCCUCCUGACCCCAACCCCAGAAACCCAAAGCAGCACUUGGCACAGGAGGUCUCUCGUGUUGCAGUCUCAACUUCAAGCCCUGGAAUACUUUGCUUCAGCCAGCAGCAUGGGGUUGGAUACCAACAGCAGAGUCGACUUAACCUGUGACUAAGUGAACUUUAAGUGUUCUGACUCCACAGUGGAACCUGAUAAAGAAAGAUGUGAAUGGAA
Molecule: RNA transcript, 5088 nt
Organism: Pogoniulus pusillus (Red-fronted tinkerbird)
Lineage: Eukaryota; Metazoa; Chordata; Aves; Piciformes; Lybiidae
Gene name: protein disulfide-isomerase TMX3-like
Exons: 9
Source: RefSeq, a predicted model, not a curated record